RNAcentral lists this ribosomal RNA (1468 nucleotides) under bacterium. Its description in RNAcentral is "partial 23S ribosomal RNA". It matches the Rfam family "Bacterial large subunit ribosomal RNA", at positions 1 to 1396 of the family's 2925-position model. The record is from RNAcentral.
UAAUAGGAAAUUAAGGGCGUACGGUGGAUGCCUUGACUAGAAGAUGGUGAUGAAGGACGUGGCGUGGCGGCGAUACGCUUCGGGGAGGUGCCUAGCAACCUUUGAUCCGAAGAUGUCCGAAUGGGGGAACCCAUCUCGACUUGAUCGAGAUACUCUAUGAAUUACAUAGAGAAUACACCCAGUGAAGUAAAACAUUUCAGUAACUGGAGGAAAAGAAAACAAUUGUUAUUUCGUUAGUAGCGGCGAGCGAAAACGAAGAAGCCCAAACCUAGUUUCAUUCUCACGAUGCGAAUUUCGUCUCGUGGGAAUGAUGCUGGGGGUUGUAAGGCGGUAAUGUUGCUUAUUUAUAAGCAAGAGUAGUUAAAAAAUUUCUGGUUAGGUUAAUCUUCUGGAAAGAAGAACCCGAGUGGGUAAUAGUCCCGUAACCGAAAAUCAGAAAUCUACUUUGUUACCGUUCUUGAGUACUUCGAGACACGAAUACCUCGAAGGAAUCUGCCGGAACUAACCGGUAAGGCUAAAUACACUUCUAGAUCGAUAGUGAACUAGUACCGUGAGGGAAAGGUGAAAAGAACCCCGGAAGGGGAGUGAAAUAGACCUGAAACCGUAUGUCUACAAGGAGUCGAAGAGGUCGUAAGACCUCGACGGCGUGCCUAUUGAAGAAUGAGCCAACGAGUUAAUGCACGCGGCCCGGCUAAGUCCCGAUAAAGGAUGGAGCCAUAGGGAAACCGAGUGUGAAUAGCGCGUCCCCGCGCAAGCGGGAAGUCGCGUGCAUUAGACCCGAAGCCAGAGCGAGCUUGUCAUGAGCAGGGUGAAUAGAACCGAAAGGUUCUAGGAGGCCCGAACCGGUGAGCCGUGCAAUACUCUCGGAUGACUUGUGAUAAGAAGUGAAAAGCUAAUCGAGCCUGGUAAUAGCUGGUUCUCUCCGAAAUAGCUUUUGGGCUAGCGUCGAGCGUUCCUUAGAGAGGUAGAGCACUGGAAGGUUUAGACAGGGAGCAAUCUCACUAAACCUAUCAAACUCCGAAUUCUCUAAAUUAAAAGCUCGGCAGUUAGACGGCGGGGGCUAAGCUCCGUGCGUCAAAAAGGAAACAGCCUAGAUCUCUAUUUAAGGUCCCUAAAUUCAUGCUAAGUGCACUUAAGGAGGUGAAAUUUCUCUGACACUGAGGAGGUUGGCUUAGAAGCAGCCAUCCUUUAAAGAAAGCGUAACAGCUCACUCAGUCAGAGAUUUCGCACCGCAGAUUCAUGGGGCUAAGCAUGGUACCGAAACUGAGGAUUUCAUUUUGCUUCGGCAAGAUGGAGUGGUAGGAGAGUAUUCGCAUCUGCAGUGAAGGCGAAGGGGUGACCCACGCUGGAGCGUUGCGAAGUAAGAAUGUUGGCACAAGUAACCACAAUGCGGGUGAGAAACCCGCACGCCGAAAGAACAAGGUUUCCCUCUCAACGUUUGUCGGAGAGGGGUUAGUCGGUCCUAAGG